CGAAUAGGGGCAACCCUUAGUAGAGCGGCGCACGGGUGCGUAACACGUGGAUAAUCUGCCUGGAUGCUCGGGAUAACCAGUCGAAAGAUUGGCUAAUACCGGAUAAGCCCACGGUUUCUUCGGAGACUGAGGGAAAAGGUGGCCUCUGUAUACAAGCUAUCACAACCAGAUGAGUCCGCGGCCCAUCAGCUAGUUGGCGGGGUAAUGGCCCACCAAGGCGACGACGGGUAGCUGGUCUGAGAGGACGAUCAGCCACACUGGAACUGAGACACGGUCCAGACUCCUACGGGAGGCAGCAGUGGGGAAUUUUGCGCAAUGGGCGAAAGCCUGACGCAGCAACGCCGCGUGUGUGAUGAAGGUCUUUGGAUUGUAAAGCACUUUCGACCGGGAAGAAAACCCGUUGGCUAACAUCCAACGGCUUGACGGUACCGGGAGAAGAAGCACCGGCUAACUCUGUGCCAGCAGCCGCGGUAAUACAGAGGGUGCAAGCGUUGUUCGGAAUUAUUGGGCGUAAAGCGCGUGUAGGCGGCGUGACAAGUCGGGUGUGAAAGCCCUCAGCUCAACUGAGGAAGUGCGCCCGAAACUGUCGUGCUUGAGUGCCGGAGAGGGUGGCGGAAUUCCCCAAGUAGAGGUGAAAUUCGUAGAUAUGGGGAGGAACACCGGUGGCGAAGGCGGCCACCUGGACGGCAACUGACGCUGAGACGCGAAAGCGUGGGGA
Molecule: ribosomal RNA, 718 nt
Filed under: Corallococcus sp. 42-lmz-2
Lineage: Bacteria; Pseudomonadati; Myxococcota; Myxococcia; Myxococcales; Myxococcaceae
Also listed under: 1 other name
Description: bacterial SSU rRNA
Rfam family: Bacterial small subunit ribosomal RNA
Source: RNAcentral